CUACAAUGGAGAGUUUGAUCCUGGCUCAGGAUGAACGCUAGCGGCAGGCCUAAUACAUGCAAGUCGAACGGAUCUGAUUCCUUCGGGAAU
RNAcentral lists this ribosomal RNA (90 nucleotides) under Pontibacter lucknowensis. RNAcentral's name for it is "partial 16S rRNA. Bacterial SSU". It matches the Rfam family "Bacterial small subunit ribosomal RNA", at positions 1 to 87 of the family's 1533-position model. Lineage: Bacteria; Pseudomonadati; Bacteroidota; Cytophagia; Cytophagales; Hymenobacteraceae. The record is from RNAcentral.